This 379-nucleotide ribosomal RNA is filed under the name uncultured bacterium. RNAcentral's name for it is "bacterial SSU rRNA". It matches the Rfam family "Bacterial small subunit ribosomal RNA", at positions 28 to 409 of the family's 1533-position model. The record is from RNAcentral.
GACGAACGCUGGCGUCGUGCUUAACACAUGCAAGUCGAGCGGUAAGGCCCUUUCGGGGGUACACGAGCGGCGAACGGGUGAGUAACACGUGGGUGACCUGCCCUCAGCUCUGGGAUAAGCCCGGGAAACCGGGUCUAAUACUGGAUAUGACUCCAUGACGCAUGUUGUGGGGUGGAAAGCCUUGUGCGGCUGAGGAUGGGCCCGCGGCCUAUCAGCUUGUUGGUGGGGUGAUGGCCUACCAAGGCGACGACGGGUAGCCGGCCUGAGAGGGCGACCGGCCACACUGGGACUGAGACACGGCCCAGACUCCUACGGGAGGCAGCAGUGGGGAAUCUUGCGCAAUGGCGAAAGCCUGACGCAGCGACGCCGCGUGAGGGAU